UACAGAGGGUGCAAGCGUUGUUCGGAAUUAUUGGGCGUAAAGCGCGUGUAGGCGGCCUAGCAAGUCGGAUGUGAAAGCCCUCGGCUUAACCGAGGAAGUGCGUUCGAAACUACUGGGCUUGAGUGCCGGAGAGGGUGGCGGAAUUCCCGGUGUAGAGGUGAAAUUCGUAGAUAUCGGGAGGAACACCAGUGGCGAAGGCGGCCACCUGGACGGUAACUGACGCUGAGACGCGAAAGCGUGGGUAGCAAACAGG
RNAcentral lists this ribosomal RNA (253 nucleotides) under uncultured bacterium. RNAcentral describes it as "partial 16S ribosomal RNA". It matches the Rfam family "Bacterial small subunit ribosomal RNA", at positions 524 to 776 of the family's 1533-position model. The record is from RNAcentral.